RNAcentral lists this ribosomal RNA (213 nucleotides) under Clostridioides difficile. Its description in RNAcentral is "partial 23S ribosomal RNA". It matches the Rfam family "Bacterial large subunit ribosomal RNA", at positions 2666 to 2881 of the family's 2925-position model. The record is from RNAcentral. Lineage: Bacteria; Bacillati; Bacillota; Clostridia; Peptostreptococcales; Peptostreptococcaceae.
GAAGACCUGUCCUUAGUACGAGAGGACCGGGAUGGACGUACCUCUGGUGUACCAGUUGUCCUGCCAAGGGCAUGGCUGGGUAGCUGUGUACGGAAUGGAUAAGCGCUGAAAGCAUCUAAGCGCGAAGUCAACUUCAAGAUAAGAUUUCCCACCGCAAGGGUAAGACCCCAGAAAGACUAUCUGGUUGAUAGGUCGAAGGUGUAAGUUCAGCAA